Molecule: long non-coding RNA, 529 nt
Organism: Suricata suricatta (meerkat)
Lineage: Eukaryota; Metazoa; Chordata; Mammalia; Carnivora; Herpestidae
Exons: 3
Source: RefSeq, a predicted model, not a curated record
AUGCUUAACCAACUGAGCCACCCAGACUCCCCCAAGUGAUUCUAUUUUUUUAUUAUUCUUGGCUAUGUCAUAUCAAAUUUUCAGAUAGUGACUUACCUGUGUAUUUCUGGUGUAAAUCUAGAUUGCUAUGUUGGAUUUCGUUACAUGCUCUUGGGCUCUCUUGAUGAAACUUUGUUACACCCAUUAGUUAGACAGGUCUGCUUUUCCAUUUUGUUGCCUUUAAUCACUGGAAUUGUUGUCACAGUGCCUUUACUUGUCCUCACCUGAUCUGAUGCAGGUGUCCUUACGGACCAGUCCUGGGGAAUGGCGGCUGCUGACCCGUGGGCCUCCUGGGCUCUGUGUCCUCAGGACUCUGCCUGGCCUGUGGAAGAGAGCCCCGAGGAGCAGAGGAGGGUCUCUGGGCUCCCGACAGCCCACGUCCAGGUUGAUGCUGUCCUGUGAGCUCUGUGCUUGCUGGGCAGGGAACAUGGACGAGUCCAAGCCCUGGUCCCGAGGAAUUCUCAGUCCCCUUUCCAAGGUGGUUCGGUCA